This 23-nucleotide microRNA is filed under the name Petromyzon marinus (sea lamprey). RNAcentral's name for it is "pma-miR-375b-5p". Its record names the gene pma-miR-375b-5p. The record is from miRBase by way of RNAcentral. Lineage: Eukaryota; Metazoa; Chordata; Hyperoartia; Petromyzontiformes; Petromyzontidae.
ACGCCGAGCCCGACGCACAAUGC